Molecule: long non-coding RNA, 251 nt
Filed under: Lathyrus oleraceus (garden pea)
Lineage: Eukaryota; Viridiplantae; Streptophyta; Magnoliopsida; Fabales; Fabaceae
Description: Pisum sativum (pea) long non-coding RNA (PSAT_LNC042218)
Source: RNAcentral
GAAAAUCAUAACUCUCAAUCCACAAAUGAUAAAUGCACAAACUUUAUAUGGAAAUGAAGGUCAAUGUGUCUAGUUUCACCACAAAAAAUUUCAGGCUCAAAGGAUAUGACAUGAGUAUUUCACAAAGAGAAUGGCACAAGGUAUCAUUUUGGCAUACAUGUUGGGAAAUCAAUUAUCAUUUAAAAUCCAGCCACUGAAAAAUUAAUUAAAAUUCACAAUAAAAUAGAGGACACAUUCAUGAGUUUAAUGCA